GGCCUUCCCACAGGGUUUUGUGGAGGUGUGGGUGGGUAACAACUUUAAAACUAUCAGAAAAUAAAGUGCUUUUUCAAACAACGACUUCAUCAGCAACAUAGUAGGCCAGAAAGAGCCUGCACGGCCUGACUUUUGUCUUUCAUCACCUUUUCCUUUUGUUCAGCUGCUUUUCAUCUGGCUUCUGCGAGGUUGCUGGGCUCUUUAAAACAGCACGUGCAGAUAUUGUUUUGGAUUUUAAAGUAAUUUUUUUUCCAGGACCACUCAGAGGUACCUAUCCCAAAUUACGUGUCACUGUUUGGGCAGAUAUGAGCUUUCUCUGUGUGUUUUCUUCUUUCAGGUGGAGAGCUGGGCUGGUCUGUGUCCUGCUCUUGGGUGGAGGUGCCCUUCUCAGGCUUGUACUUCCACACUUGUUGUAAAUCCAUUCAGACUGUGUAUUUAAGUACCAGCUGUGGCUUUUAUUCUCUGCCAAUUUGUCACAUCCACAGUGAUGGAGACUUGGCUCACUCAGUCUUGAGUUGGCUUCCCUGUGUUUCUGCCUUUAACCCCAGGUUAAAGCCUGAAGCUUGUUACCUGUUCUUGAGAAAAUCACCCUGUGUACACUGGAGGAGUCAGGAGCUCACAGCUGGUCUCAAACCUUUGUCACUCUCACAGUCCAGUGGAUUCAUCGACUGCACUGCCACUCGCCAGCCUGCCCAUUCUCCGUGGAUACCUAAUUGCUCACACCGCAUGUCCACCUGCUCACCGAUACUUCUACCUUAAGCUCUUCUCACCUGCACUCACAAAUAAGCCCUCAGCUACAAUCUAUUAGAGUCGCCACCCGGGUUCACCAGUAGUGUUUGGGUCACACCCAUUUUUCCCACAGUCCAUCACUGCUCAACACUCAUUGGAAAUAAACCUUUAAAGACUUUCAACUGUCUUCUCUUUGGCUCUGAAAGUACUUUAUUCUUUGCCAACAACAGCCCUGAGAGACUCCUGGUGGUGGCAAUACACAUAAAGGUUCAGGCCAGCCAAAAAUAUUAGCUGGUGGACCAUCGAGACGAG
Molecule: long non-coding RNA, 1041 nt
Organism: Oreochromis aureus
Lineage: Eukaryota; Metazoa; Chordata; Actinopteri; Cichliformes; Cichlidae
Source: Ensembl